Molecule: ribosomal RNA, 253 nt
Filed under: uncultured bacterium
Lineage: Bacteria
Description: partial 16S ribosomal RNA
Rfam family: Bacterial small subunit ribosomal RNA
Source: RNAcentral
UACGUAGGGGGCUAGCGUUGUCCGGAUUUAUUGGGCGUAAAGAGCGUGUAGGCGGCCAUGUAGGUCCGGUGUGAAAACUCGAGGCUUAACCUCGAGAUGUCAUCGGAAACCAUUUGGCUAGAGUCCGGAAGAGGAGAGUGGAAUUCCUGGUGUAGCGGCGAAAUGCGCAGAUAUCAGGAAGAACACCAAUGGCGAAAGCAGCUCUCUGGGACGGUACUGACGCUGAGACGCGAAAGCGUGGGGAGCGAACAGG